UAGGGAAUCUUCCACAAUGGGCGAAAGCCUGAUGGAGCAACGCCGCGUGUGUGAUGAAGGGUUUCGGCUCGUAAAACACUGUUGUAAGAGAAGAAUGACAUUGAGAGUAACUGUUCAAUGUGUGACGGUAUCUUACCAGAAAGGAACGGCUAAAUACGUGCA
RNAcentral lists this ribosomal RNA (162 nucleotides) under uncultured bacterium. Its description in RNAcentral is "partial 16S rRNA". It matches the Rfam family "Bacterial small subunit ribosomal RNA", at positions 355 to 509 of the family's 1533-position model. The record is from RNAcentral.